AGCGGUUCCAGUUUCUUCAUCCAUUGCGUCCAGUGCUUGGGAGAGAUUAGUAUGUUCAGCUGAGAUCGAGUCUGGGUGGCUGCUGUAUCCGAGCUGGGCUUGAGCUUUGGCUUGGGCUGGUUUUUUUUGGCUGCAAAACUGUCUGAUGGCACAACUGCAACAUAAAGGUUAAAUAUGGCACAGGAAAAAAAAAAAAAAAAAAGAAACAGAGCGGGGAGAAGGAAGGAUUAGAGAAAAGAAACUAAUAUAAAUCAGUUGAGGUUCUUUUUAGUGAAGAGGUCUUUGAUCUCUGCUGGGUCUUACAGAUCUUUCUUUUAAAGAGAGAGAGAGAAAAGAAGAGAGGAGGGGGGAGAGAAGGGAAAAGCGGGGAGAGAUCUUUGGCAGGUGCAGAGUGAAAACCUCUUUCAGCUACACUGAAUUCUGGAGACUGGUUGGACUAGUAGCUCUGCAGCUCCAGCUUUCAGUGGGUGUGUUAAAUAUUAUGAGCGAGCCAUGAUUCCUGCCUUCCUCACGUCAUAGUUAGGAGAUUGGCUAAAUAAACGCUACAGUGAUAGUAACAGGAAAACCUCAACCAAAAGAGGGGUUUUUUUCCCUCCUCUCCUCCCUCCUUCCCACCCCCCCUUUUCAUUCUACUGCAGCUCCAACUGGGGCAAGGAGAGGGCGUCUGUUCCACAAAGGUUUGGGAAAAAAAAUAAAAUGAAACGAAAUAAAAUGUAAAGCGGUAGAGGAGAGAGGAUCCUGCGCUGCCAGCGCUGCGAGGCGGCAGCAGCAGCGCCGUGCGCCGGGCCGGGCCGGGAUGGGCGGCCCUGCUCCGCCGCCGCCGCGCUCAUCGCCCUCGCCCCCGGCCCCGCGGGGUCAGCCCGGGCUCCGCUGGCCGGGGAUCAGCCUCCGGGUCUGAUCCGGGAUCCCUCACCGGGAUCCAGCUGCCCUCCCUCCCCUUCCCCCCUCUCCGCUGCUGGCUCUGUGCCUGCUGGCCCAGCGGGCUAGUGGCAGCCCCGGGAGCACUGAGGCAGCCGUUUGACAGCCAGGGCACCCUGCAGGAACGAGCUGCCCCUGGCGCUUCAGGUGGUCAGGCAGGGAAUGCCCAGAACCGGCAGAACGAGGCAGGAACUCGGACCUUUGUUCAUGCUCCAAAAUCCCACCAGAGCCACUGGAGGAAAACAAGUCUCGGGGAAAGGCCUCCAACAGUGAAAUAAAUUAUGUGAGGAUUCAAACAAGUCCUAACCUGACAUUUUUCAGAGUGAAAUGCAGGACC
Molecule: long non-coding RNA, 1255 nt
Filed under: Ficedula albicollis (Collared flycatcher)
Lineage: Eukaryota; Metazoa; Chordata; Aves; Passeriformes; Muscicapidae
Description: lncRNA (ENSFALG00000024724.1)
Source: RNAcentral